UUCUUCGGGGCAGGGUGAGAUUCCCUACCGGCGGUGACAGUCCGCGACUCUUCUGGACGUAUGAACAGGAGACUGAUUCGGUGAAAUUCCGGAACCGACAGUUAAAGUCUGGAUGAGAGAAGAA
Molecule: non-coding RNA, 124 nt
Filed under: Parabacteroides gordonii
Lineage: Bacteria; Pseudomonadati; Bacteroidota; Bacteroidia; Bacteroidales; Tannerellaceae
Description: FMN riboswitch (RFN element)
Rfam family: FMN riboswitch aptamer (RFN element)
About the family: The RFN element is a highly conserved domain that is found frequently in the 5'-untranslated regions of prokaryotic mRNAs that encode for flavin mononucleotide (FMN) biosynthesis and transport proteins.
Source: RNAcentral